AGUUUACGGAGGCACUUUCAGAACUGAUCAGAAGCCACCCCGCUUAUCAGCAGAUCUCAGGAGAGUGUUCAGUGGAGGCCCUGCCGGUCUGCACAGCUCACCUCCCUGGGAACUGCUCGCCUGAGCGUCGGAGCCGGCCCUGGCCCCCUGCAGCCAGAAAGUUGCAGCCGCAGGAGCCCCGGAGGCCCAGGACGCAGGGGGAGGAACAGGAAGAGAAGAGUGUGGCCUCCUAGAAAUCUAGCACGGAGAAAGACUGGUCUUGAACUCCUGACCUCGUGAUACUCAGCCUCCCAAAGUGCUGGGAUUACAGGAGUGAACCACCAAGCCCGGCUUGACCUCUUGGCUUUUACCAAAGGAUGUUUGCUUCUGAGGAAGCUGGAAGCUGCAGCCACAAUGUGCCUUUGCAGGGGAGCCUGAGAGCCACAGAUGUUAAGGAGAACUGCAAACCACUGUUCAAUGAAAUAAAAGAGAAUACAAACAAAUGGAACAACAUUCCACGCUCAUGGGUUGGAAGAAUCAAUAUCGUGAAAAUGGCCAUACUGCCCAAGGUAAUUUAUAGAUUCAAUGCCAUCCCCAUCAAGCUACCAAUGACUUUCUUCACAGAAUUGGAAAAAACUACUUUAAAGUUCAUAUGGAACAAAAAAGAGCCCGCAUCGCCAAGUCAAUCCUAAGCCAAAAGAACAAAGCCAGAGGCAUCAUGCUACCUGACUUCAAACUAUACUACAAGGCUACAAUAACCAAAACAGCAUGGUACUGGUACCAAAACAGAGAUAUAGAUCAAUGGAACAGAACAGAGUCCUCAGAAAUAACACCACAUAUCUACAACCAUCUGAUCUUUGACAAACCUGACAAAAACAAGCAGUGGGGAAAGGAUUCCCUAUUUAAUAAAUGGUGCUGGGAAAACUGGCUAGUCAUAUGUAGAAAGCUGAAACUGGAUCCCUUCCUUACACCUUAGACAAAAAUUAAUUCAAGAUGGAUUAAAGACUUACAUGUUAGAACUAAAACCAUAAAAACCCUAGAAGAAAACCUAGGCAAUACCAUUCAGGACAUAGGCAUGGGCAAGGACUUCAUGUCUAAAACACCAAAAGCAAUGGCAACAAAAGCCAAAAUUGACAAACGGGAUCUAACUAAACUAAAGAGCUUCUGCACAGCAAAAGAAACUACCAUCAGACUGAACAGGCAACCUACAAAAUGGGAGAAAAUUUUCGCAACCUACUCAUCCAACAAAGGGCAAAUAUCCAGAAUCUACAAUGAACUCAAAUAAAUUUACAAGAAAAAAACAAACAACCCCAUCAAAAAGUGGGCGGAGGAUAUGAACAGACACUUCUCAAAAGAAGACAUUUAUGCAGCCAAAAAACACAUGAAAAAAUGCUCAUCAUCACUGGCCAUCAGAGAAAUGCAAAUCAAAACCACAAUGAGAUACCAUCUCACACCAGUUAGAAUGGCGAUCAUUAAAAAGUCAGGAAACAACAGGUGCUAGAGAGGAUGUGGAGAAAUAGGAACACUUUUACACUGUUGUUGGGACUCUAAACUAGUUCAACCAUUGUGGAAGUCAGUGUGGCGAUUCCUCAGGGAUCUAGAACUAGAAAUACCAUUUGACCCAGCCAUCCCAUUACUGGGUAUAUACCCAAAGGACUAUAAAUCAUGCUGCUAUAAAGACACAUGCACACGUAUGUUUAUUGCGGCACCAUUCACAAUAGCAAAGACUUGGAACCAACCCAAAUGCCCAACAACGAUAGACUGGAUUAAGAAAAUGUGGCACUUAUACACCAUGGAAUACUAUGCAGCCAUAAAACAUGAUGAAACUGGAAACCAUCAUUCUCAGCAAACUAUCACAAGGACAAAAAACCAAACACCGCAUGUUCUCACUCAUAGGUGGGAAUUGAACAAUGAGAACACAUGGACACAGGAAGGGGAACAUCACACCCCGGGGACUGUUGUGGGGUGGGGGGAGGGGGGAGGGAUAGCAUUUGGAGAUAUACCCAAUGCUAAGUGACAAGUUAAUGGGUGCAGCACACCAACAUGGCACAUGUAUACAUAUGUAACAAACCUGCACAUUGUACACAUGUACCCUAAAACUUAAAGUAUAAUAAUAAUAAAAUAAAAUAAAAUAAAUAGUUAAUGAAUGGAGUUCUGCAGGCUUUGCUUUAAAGAACAGAUCUACAGUAUUUUAUUGGGGAAUGUAAUCUCAGUGUCAUCUCUGAGGCAUGUUUACUGCUAUAUCUCUAUCGAGCACCUGAAGUAAGUAGUGCCUGGAACAGAGGAAUGACUCAGGGUGUGGUGACUGGACUGGAUGGCACUUUCAAAGCACUGGACCUGUCCCACGAUGGGGCAGUGAGUUUCCCGUCCCUCUACCUAUAAGGUACCUAAAAGGUUUAGCCUUGCGUGUGGUAGAUGUGCUUUGAAGGGGGUUUAGGAGACAGUCUAGGAGAUGACCCUUAAGUAACCUGCCUACAAUCUCCUUUACACUCAGGUGAUCAGUGAAGUUUUUUUUCAGGGACAAUGUAAAACAGUAGUUCUGCUGGUAUCACUGACUACGUAUUAGAAUCACCUAUGAACUCUUAAACACUAGUGCCCAUAGGCCCUAUUCUCAGGAUUUUGAUUUAAUUAAUGUAGGCUGACACCUAUUCAUCUGUUCUUAAUGCUUUCUGAGUAAUCCUAAAGUGCAGUGAAGGUGGACAACCACUAAUGUGGAAAAAAACAAAACAAAACAAAAACACUCCAAUAUGCAAUACAACUUCACAGCUAGCUCAGAACUAGUUCUCUGCAGGUCUCAUAAUUUAUAAUAAUUUCUGCUUGGAAGCCAGAAGGCCCGUUCCUUUAUUGUCACCAUAGCCGAAAAGCGUAAUCUUCAAGGCCUGAUUCAUCCUUACCUCCUCCAGGAAGCCUUCUCUGCCUGUUCCAGCCUAUUUUUCUGUCCCCUUAUUGUACUUCCUGCCAGUGCUUGCAUCCCUGCUUUGACUCAUAUCCCUUUGGCCCUUCUCUCAUAUCCCUUGUGCCCUUCUCCUUUCCUUUCCUGAGCCUCCACCACACUCCAAAUUGAAUACUCUAAAAGGUUUAGCCCUGCAUGUGGUAGAGGUGCUUUGAAAGGGUUUUUUAGGAGACAGUCUAGGAGAUGACCCAUCCUGUGCAUGUCUACUCACCAAACCCUGUUUUAUAAUUGCCUGCCCAUUUGUAUGUCUCUGAAUGAAACUGUGUACACCCCGAGAGGAAGAACUGUGAUAUAUUUACCUUGGCAACCACAGCACUUAGUGCAUGCAAUAGAGUAAACACAAUUGCACAAAUGGAUGGAAGGAAGGAUGAAUGAGUGGACAGAUGGAUGAAUGAAGGAGUAGUACUCUUUGUGGGGCUUAACUGCACUGUCUGAAUUGAUUAGUGUCUCUACUACAUUUCUCAUGUGUCUCUAUUACAUCUAUGUAACUUGGGAAAGAAUAUUUCCUAGUAAUCGCUUUUUCCCAUCCAUAAAUUUUAUCUGCCAGCUGACUGACUCACAGCCUGAAAGGAACUUGUUUAUUAUAGUUUUCUGUAAUAAAAGACCAAAUCUUAACGUCACAUUACAAGAUUAGAAAAGGUCUUAUCAUUUACUGAACCCUUACUGGGUCCUGGGGGCUUUAAAUUCAUUAUCUCUUUAUGUCAACUCCUCCUAUUUGUCAGUUGUAGAAUCUGAGACUCAGAGUUUAAAGUAACUUGCUUCAAACCACACUCAGCAGUAGUUGAGAUUCAAGCCUAGGUUCUUUCCCACAGAGGCUCAUUUCUUCUCCUGUCCCAGUUUCUGUCCCUCAAGUAGAGACUAUAGGGGUACUAACAUUAAAUACUUCAACACAAGGUCAGUCUAGAAGCUCCACGAGGACCCAAACCCGACAGACCUGGACCUUAACAGUGUUCUGAGGAUCCUGCACAUGCUCCAGGGUUGCAUCAACAUCCAGGGCAACCACCAACCCAGAGUUAAACUGCAAAGGGUUGUCUGACUCGCCCGCUGGCUCAAUGAUGGUGGCUGAGGCUUUGUGGAUCUGUAAGCCAGAGGAAAAUCCUAUGAUUCUAAAGCCAGGUCAUUCCUGGACAAGAAAACACAUCUUUUUUCUGUCUCCUUAUCUAAUGAGUGGGCAUGUGGGAGCCACUCAGAGGAAGAGCCUAGCCCAGCUGCUCCAUUGGUCAAAGAAGAUCACCAAGGUAAAGAUUUUUGACCGUCUGGACAGAUUUGGCCUACAGGGGCCAAAUAGACCCUGACCUGCUCUGGAAGUGGGAGAUGCAGAAAGGCACUCUGUCGCAGCAUGGUCUGUAGAAUUUUGACCACUUCUGCAGGUUUGGAUGUCAUGAGUCGGGGCAUAAGGUCAAGGAGUUUGUCCACAAAGCUGUCCUGCAAGUGGGGCAAAUCAGCGAUGAAAUACCUGGAGGAACAAACAGAAGCAACUGACUCAUUCAACUGUGCACACAUUCACCACAGGCUGGGCCCCAGACACCUACCAAACCCUGAAGUAGGAAGAAUGAUGAAGUG
Molecule: long non-coding RNA, 4495 nt
Filed under: Homo sapiens (human)
Lineage: Eukaryota; Metazoa; Chordata; Mammalia; Primates; Hominidae
Description: HSALNT0341284
Source: RNAcentral